Molecule: ribosomal RNA, 449 nt
Filed under: uncultured bacterium
Lineage: Bacteria
Description: partial 16S ribosomal RNA
Rfam family: Bacterial small subunit ribosomal RNA
Source: RNAcentral
CCAGACUCCUACGGGAGGCAGCAGUGGGGAAUAUUGCACAAUGGGGGGAACCCUGAUGCAGCGACGCCGCGUGGGCGAGGAAGUAUUUCGGUAUGUAAAGCCCUAUCGGCAGGGAAGAAGAAAUGACGGUACCUGAAUAAGAAGCACCGGCUAAAUACGUGCCAGCAGCCGCGGUAAUACGUAUGGUGCAAGCGUUAUCCGGAUUUACUGGGUGUAAAGGGAGCGUAGACGGCGGCGCAAGUCCGGAGUGAAAGCCCACGGCCCAACCCCGGGACUGCCCUUGGAACUGCAUGGCUGGAGUGCAGGAGAGGUAAGUGGAAUUCCUAGUGUAGCGGUGAGAUGCGUAGAUAUUAGGAGGAACACCAGUGGCGAAGGCGGCUUACUGGACUGUAACUGACGUUGAGGCUCGAAAGCGUGGGGAGCAAACAGGAUUAGAUACCCCGGUAGGA